This is an RNA transcript of Gallus gallus (chicken), 4470 nucleotides long. It is a transcript of the gene named dynein assembly factor with WD repeats 1, with no coding region annotated. The record is from RefSeq and is a predicted model, not a curated record. The transcript has 19 exons. NCBI's taxonomy places the organism in Eukaryota, Metazoa, Chordata, Aves, Galliformes, Phasianidae.
GGCAGCCGGCGGCGCAUGCACACAGGCUCUGUUUGGCCGUUGCCGUGGCAACGAACCCCAGGCGGCGGAGAUGGGGCCGAGGCGGCUGCUGCUGCGCUACUUCCCGCCGGGUGCGGGGCUGGGGCUCGCGGGGCGCUGCUGUGGGGCGAGGGGUGGUUCUGUCAGCGUGGAGCGGGUGUGCGCGCGGGGAGGGGGCGGUUUCCCGCCGGGUGCUCUCUGCGCGGCACGCGCGGGGGUGACGCCGCGGGCGUGGGCGGUGCGGCUGCCCCGGCGCCUCACAGCCUUGGCCGCACGCAGAACGGUGCGAAAGUUCCUCCAAGUUAUCCUUUUCCCCGGGAAGCGGAGGGGCGGCAGAAUUCUGCGAGCGGCUGCCUCAGAGCAGGAGGCGGCGCGGUUGCGCCUCUCACAGGAGGAAUUAUUCUGGAAUAUGUGGAAGGUGGUGAGCUGAAGACCAGAUCUAUAGAUCUGCUUGAUCUUAGUCCUCACACAGAUGUCAUAGCCUUGGUAGAAGAAAUUCAAAAAGAAGAACCUCUCAUCACAGCUUCUUGCAAGGAACACGUCAUACGUUUAGUACAAAGAUUGCAAGAAAAGCUGGGGGAAAAAGAGGACCACAAAUUCUACCUUUUUAAGGUGCUUAGGGCACAUAUAUUGCCACUGACAAAUGUAGCAUUCAACAAAUCUGGUUCCUGCUUUAUCACAGGAAGCUAUGACAGAACCUGCAAAGUAUGGGAUACUGCAUCAGGAGAAGAGCUGCAUACUCUAGAGGGACACAAAAAUGUUGUUUAUGCAAUUGCUUUUAAUAAUCCCUACGGUGACAAGAUUGCCACUGGAUCUUUUGAUAAAACCUGCAAACUGUGGAGUACUGAAACAGGAAAAUGUUAUCAUACUUUCAGAGGACAUACUGCAGAAAUAGUAUGUUUAUCAUUUAAUCUUCAAAGCACAUUGGUGGCAACUGGAAGCAUGGAUACCACUGCCAAAUUAUGGGAUAUAGAGAAAGGAGAAGUAGCAUUUACUUUAAGAGGGCACUCAGCAGAAAUUGUUGCAUUGUCUUUUAACACCACCGGAGACAGGAUUAUCACUGGCUCCUUUGACUGCACAGUAGGAGUGUGGGAUGUUGUCACUGGCAGGAUGUUGCAUGUUUUAAUAGGCCAUCGAGGAGAAAUUAGCAGUGCACAGUUCAACUGGGACUGUUCUCUUAUUGUCACUGGAUCAAUGGACAAAACAUGCAUGCUGUGGAACGCUACGACUGGUGCACAUAUAGCGACUUUAACAGGUCACAGCGAUGAAAUAAUGGAUGUCUGCUUUGAUUAUGCUGGGCAGCGUAUUGCAACCGCCUCUGCUGAUGGAUCAGGAAGGGUCUACAAUGCAGAAACAAAAAAGUGCAUUGCAAAACUAGAAGGGCAUGGAGGUGAGAUUUCAAAGAUAUGUUUCAACCCUAAAGGCAAUCGUAUUCUAACAGCCAGCUCUGAUAAGACAGCGCGACUCUGGGAUGCUGCUACUGGACACUGCCUUCAGAUAUUAGAGGGCCACACUGAUGAGAUAUUCUCCUGUGCUUUCAAUUACAAAGGCAAUAUAAUCAUUACAGGAAGCAAGGAUAACACCUGUAGAGUAUGGCACUGACUGAAGACAAGGAGAGAUCCAGUGUGGUACUCUUACGGCUCCGCGUACUACGCUUCAGCCAAAAUGGAGACGAAGCAACUCAAGCCUGGACGAGACAUGAAUCAGAGCGAUCAGGAGACCCAACAUUUCACUCCAGAAAUUCUAAAGCUGAUGAGAAGCAGUUUUCGUUGAGUCAGCUGUCUGCAGAAGCUGUGUCUGUAUAGAGCAAACGUCCUUUGAUACUGGCACUGCCACCAGCCCAUCUGAAGGAGUUGGGGAAAGCAGAGAUGUUGAACUGCAUUGAGCCUUUAACGCAGUCCCUCCACUCCAUCCUGCAUCUCCUCUCUGGUACUGACAGCACCCAACCUGCCAAGGGAUCCAGCUUGGGGCCAGUUUGCCUUUGGCUGUUGAGAACACUGCACCAAACAAGAAUGGCAGCCCAGAGAGCUUCAGCCAGUGGUACCGGGUACCUCAUGCCAACGUAGGACGUUGAGGUAUGGAGAUGAAGCUCCUCUGUUACUAUGAAGUUCCAUAAGCCCACAGAAAGCUCAUGUUGGCAUCAGUCCUAUGAAAACUUCUCCAAUCGUAUUUAAUGGAGCAUGCAAAGGACGAGUACGGGAAUGGCUGUAUAAUGUGGGCCACUGUUUCCACUAAGGCAUGUGCACUUUAUAUACUCUCCAACACUUUGGAUACUGAAGUACUCCCAGAAAGCCAGGAGGAGUACAUGUUUUUCAGGAUCUUUUUAUGGUUAAGAGAUUUGUUCUUAGGGUUCCGUUCUUUGAGCAUUCCCCAUGAGAUCCUUGUAUUUCCCCUUUAGUUCUUCCUUUCAAAAGAAGAUGCCAAGUAAUAAAAAUGAACAAAGCCCAUGUUACUAAGAUAUUGAGUUCUUGAGACCAAAUAGCUCAACUGCACUUGCUUUCUGGCACAGCUUAACAACACCUGAAGUUAAGAGCAAAAGGGAAAGGAGCCAGCAACAGCGACAGCUGAAGAUGAUUACAAAUUGUUUUUGUAUUUCAAGAAGUGUUAGGCCUACGUUGCAGGAGAAAUAGGGAUAAAAAAAUAAAUUAAAAAGACGAAAACUAAACCAUUUCAGCUCUUCCUCCCACUGAGUGUUGCAAGGCCGGUAAAAUUAGGAAGAAAAAAAAAAAACAAAAAAAAAAACCCAAGCACAGUAAUCACAAAACAAACCACAAAGACAUGAGAGAGUCCCAGAAAUGGCAGCACUUAUUCCUUCUGCUAUCCUCCCCAUACUGCAAAUGCAUUCCCCCCAAGAAAAAGGGAGACCACAGAAAUAUCAACUGCCAUAUAAACACAACUAUACCCAUAUCUACAAAGUCUCCUAUAAAGGUACACAAUCAUUAGUGUUACAUCUCCUCCAUGUAUCACUAUGUGAAAUGAGUUCCAUGACUUAACAAAACCCUUAGAGAUUUUUUUCUAGCACGCAAAAUUUAUAGCAUCUUCAGGAAAACUUUUAUUCCAAAGCUGCCAAAGUAAUACACUGCAUGCACUGGGCUGCAGCCCUUACACUGCAGCAAUGAGAAGCAGAUUUUCAUAUUUCAACAUGAUAAAAAGCACUAAAUUUGUUACUAAAAGAAAACAUAGUUAAAUGGCUCUUUUGAUUGCUAAGUGAGUCUUUAGAUCAAUACACCUGAUUUAUUAUUCAUAUUUGUUUGAUCAAAUUCCAUACUGGGGGCAUAACAACCCAGGUUCUGUACAGACAGAAAAAAUACAACAUCACUGCCUCUAAGGUUUAAGGCACCAUAUUACCAUCUAACCAGAAAUUUCGCACUUAACAGUGCAACAUUAUGUUAGCAGACUAAACAAAAGGUUUUAAAAAAACAAACACAUCCCGUAGAGUAAGUAUAGGGCUAGAAGAUCAUGAUGCCAUACAGAAUUAAAUUAAUUUCAAAAGCCAUGGUUCACAGUGCCUCCAAUGUUCUGUUUUCACAAUGGAUUUAGUGUUGGCCUGCACCUUCAAUACAAUCACUUUCCAUUUGGCUCAGGUGGGUAACCUGUUUCCAACCAGUAUAGAAAGAGCCAAAAGCAAUCCUCAGCCCACAUAAGAAACCAGUGAAUUGGGUAGUGAUGCAGGGUGCCUGGCCCCAGAGAGCUUCAUCUCCUAGCAAUCUCUCCAGGCAACACAAGGCCCUUUACAGUAACUUGGCAUGGAAACCCUCCUCCUAGUCUAGCUAAUUUAAUCCCAGCAUCACCUGCAUACCUCUCCAAAAAAGCUGUGUUACCCCCAACCCACUCUCCUAGCAUAUAUUUCAGCUCUAAGAUGAUAAGCCUACACAGCAGCCAAAAAGCACCAUCCAGAAUAACCUGGAGAAAAAAAAAAAAAAAAAAAAAAAAAAAAAAAAAAAAAAAACAAGAUGGGAAGAGUUCUACAGUGCCAAGUUCAGCCAAGAUGAAAGGAAGACUAAGUCCUGGUUUGGAGAGACUGGAAGGGAACACUCCAAAGUGGAGGACUAUCUGAAAGAGAGAAGGGGAGAGGGGCAAAGGUAUUCUCUGCAGGCAGCUUGGUUAUCAUUACUUCAGUUUAGAUAUCUACUAUAGCAGCUUUCCUGCAGUAUAAUUCAGAAGGCUACAGGUCAGAGCAAUCACUGUUCACACCAGCUGUACAGACAGCAAACUCCUAAGAGCUCCCUUCAUACCCAUAGCUCAUCUCUCUUGGUAUUACAGAGGUCAUCACUCUUACAAAGGGCUGAAAACUCAUUUUCAUAGUUUCCACUGGCCCUGACGUUGAUUUUGCACAGAUUUAGUGACACUACCUAUAGUAAAUAGCCCUGCUGCUGCUCUGUUUGACAAACAACAACCUGGUGCAAGUUUUGGUGAUAUCUGGAAUAAAAGAAAAUACUUCUGAUGGAAAUA